AUGGCGGGAGUGGAGUCUCUAAAAAAUGGUUAUAUUUGGAGAGUUGGAAAUGGACAAAAUAUAUAUAUUUGGAGAGAUGUAUGGAUCCCUAAUGGGGCCAAUAGGAAAAUUCACACUCCUAGAAGAGGGCAGCUUCUGACCAAAGUUGCUGAUCUUAUAGAUCCAAUCAACAAUUGUUGGGAUGAAGAUUUGGUAAGACAAACGUUGUGGCCAAUUGAUGUCCAGAGGGUGCUUGUGAUCCCCCUCCCCACGUACAACAUGUCAGAUUUCAUAGCUUGGAGUUUUACAAAGAAUGGACUAUUCACGGUUCGUUCAGCUUAUCUGGAGGAAUGAAAAAAGCAACAUGGGAGGAAAUUGCAACAUUCUAAUGGCAUGGGAGGAAUAAAUGUCAAUACUAUUUGGAGAAACAUUUGGAAAUUAUCUUGUCCAGCAAAAGUGAAGAUUUUUAUUUGGCGUACCCUACACGGAACCCUCCCGUGUCGUGUUACACUUGCUAAUAGACAUAUGAAAGUUUCGCCAUGCCCAUCAUCUUCGAACGGGCCUGAAGAUACUAAACACUUGUUAUUUAUGUGUCAAAAGGCAAAAGAGGUGUGGGAGAAGCUGGGAUUGCACGAAGCCAUUAAAAAAGCUUGUGCGGUCGAUCGUGUAGGAGAGGCAGUACUCGAAUUUUUACUUGUUAUGCCAGAACACGAGCUCUCUACAGUGGGCAUACAGAAUGUUCGCAAACUGAUCGCUAUAACAACCUGGUAUUUAUGGUGGGAAAGACGUUCGCUAGUCCAUCAGGGAAAGACCCAAGGUGCAUACCAAAUUUCGAUGGGAGCACAUGCUAUAACGAUAAACUAUGUUAUUUCCCAAUCCUCCAGGGCAACGAAUAGAAAAGAGGGAUGGACGAGACCCCCUCUAGGUUUUGUAAAAUUAAAUGUCGAUGCUUCGUUCGAUCAAGACAUGCUUAGAGGAACAGCGGGAGCUGUACUUAGAGAUGAUAAAGGAAGAUUUAUUGUGGGAGGGAAUUGGAAGAUGGAUUGGUGCGCAGAUGUUUUAACAGCGGAAGCCAUGGCACUACGUUUUGGCAUAUUACUUGCACAAAAGGGGGGAAGCAACUGA
This 1104-nucleotide ribosomal RNA is filed under the name Triticum aestivum (bread wheat). RNAcentral's name for it is "partial small subunit ribosomal RNA". Lineage: Eukaryota; Viridiplantae; Streptophyta; Magnoliopsida; Poales; Poaceae. The record is from RNAcentral.